GUGCUUGCUUCAGCAGCCCAAAUAUUAAAAUUAAAACUAUACAGAGAAGAUGGCCCCUGCACAAGGAUGACACACAAAUUUGUGAUGUGUUCCAUAUUUUU
This 101-nucleotide small nuclear RNA is filed under the name Jaculus jaculus (lesser Egyptian jerboa). The record is from RNAcentral. Lineage: Eukaryota; Metazoa; Chordata; Mammalia; Rodentia; Dipodidae.